ACAGCAGUAGCCGCGGUAAUCCGGAGGGGGCUAGCGUUGUUCGGAAUUACUGGGCGUAAAGCGCACGUAGGCGGCUUUGCAAGUCAGAGGUGAAAGCCCGGGGCUCAACUCCGGAAUAGCCUUUGAGACUGCAUCGCUUGAACACGGGAGAGGUGAGUGGAAUUCCGAGUGUAGAGGUGGAAUUCGUAGAUAUUCGGAAGAACACCAGUGGCGAAGGCGGCUCACUGGACCGUUGUUGACGCUGAGGAGCGAAAGCGUGGGGAGCAAACAGGAUUAGAGACCCCUGUAGUCCCUGUCUCUUAUAC
Molecule: ribosomal RNA, 305 nt
Filed under: uncultured bacterium
Lineage: Bacteria
Description: partial 16S ribosomal RNA
Rfam family: Bacterial small subunit ribosomal RNA
Source: RNAcentral